AUUUGCCCUGACUUUCCUGACG
This 22-nucleotide microRNA is filed under the name Tupaia belangeri chinensis (Chinese tree shrew). RNAcentral's name for it is "Tupaia chinensis (Chinese tree shrew) tch-miR-9771f". Lineage: Eukaryota; Metazoa; Chordata; Mammalia; Scandentia; Tupaiidae. The record is from miRBase by way of RNAcentral.